RNAcentral lists this ribosomal RNA (1489 nucleotides) under Lactiplantibacillus plantarum. RNAcentral's name for it is "bacterial SSU rRNA". It matches the Rfam family "Bacterial small subunit ribosomal RNA". Lineage: Bacteria; Bacillati; Bacillota; Bacilli; Lactobacillales; Lactobacillaceae. The record is from RNAcentral.
GACGAACGCUGGCGGCGUGCCUAAUACAUGCAAGUCGAACGAACUCUGGUAUUGAUUGGUGCUUGCAUCAUGAUUUACAUUUGAGUGAGUGGCGAACUGGUGAGUAACACGUGGGAAACCUGCCCAGAAGCGGGGGAUAACACCUGGAAACAGAUGCUAAUACCGCAUAACAACUUGGACCGCAUGGUCCGAGCUUGAAAGAUGGCUUCGGCUAUCACUUUUGGAUGGUCCCGCGGCGUAUUAGCUAGAUGGUGGGGUAACGGCUCACCAUGGCAAUGAUACGUAGCCGACCUGAGAGGGUAAUCGGCCACAUUGGGACUGAGACACGGCCCAAACUCCUACGGGAGGCAGCAGUAGGGAAUCUUCCACAAUGGACGAAAGUCUGAUGGAGCAACGCCGCGUGAGUGAAGAAGGGUUUCGGCUCGUAAAACUCUGUUGUUAAAGAAGAACAUAUCUGAGAGUAACUGUUCAGGUAUUGACGGUAUUUAACCUGAAAGCCACGGCUAACUACGUGCCAGCAGCCGCGGUAAUACGUAGGUGGCAAGCGUUGUCCGGAUUUAUUGGGCGUAAAGCGAGCGCAGGCGGUUUUUUAAGUCUGAUGUGAAAGCCUUCGGCUCAACCGAAGAAGUGCAUCGGAAACUGGGAAACUUGAGUGCAGAAGAGGACAGUGGAACUCCAUGUGUAGCGGUGAAAUGCGUAGAUAUAUGGAAGAACACCAGUGGCGAAAGCGGCUGUCUGGUCUGUAACUGACGCUGAGGCUCGAAAGUAUGGGUAGCAAACAGGAUUAGAUACCCUGGUAGUCCAUACCGUAAACGAUGAAUGCUAAGUGUUGGAGGGUUUCCGCCCUUCAGUGCUGCAGCUAACGCAUUAAGCAUUCCGCCUGGGGAGUACGGCCGCAAGGCUGAAACUCAAAGGAAUUGACGGGGGCCCGCACAAGCGGUGGAGCAUGUGGUUUAAUUCGAAGCUACGCGAAGAACCUUACCAGGUCUUGACAUACUAUGCAAAUCUAAGAGAUUAGACGUUCCCUUCGGGGACAUGGAUACAGGUGGUGCAUGGUUGUCGUCAGCUCGUGUCGUGAGAUGUUGGGUUAAGUCCCGCAACGAGCGCAACCCUUAUUAUCAGUUGCCAGCAUUAAGUUGGGCACUCUGGUGAGACUGCCGGUGACAAACCGGAGGAAGGUGGGGAUGACGUCAAAUCAUCAUGCCCCUUAUGACCUGGGCUACACACGUGCUACAAUGGAUGGUACAACGAGUUGCGAACUCGCGAGAGUAAGCUAAUCUCUUAAAGCCAUUCUCAGUUCGGAUUGUAGGCUGCAACUCGCCUACAUGAAGUCGGAAUCGCUAGUAAUCGCGGAUCAGCAUGCCGCGGUGAAUACGUUCCCGGGCCUUGUACACACCGCCCGUCACACCAUGAGAGUUUGUAACACCCAAAGUCGGUGGGGUAACCUUUUAGGAACCAGCCGCCUAAGGUGGGACAGAUGAUUAGGGUG